Non-coding RNA from Cordylochernes scorpioides, 75 nucleotides. Lineage: Eukaryota; Metazoa; Arthropoda; Arachnida; Pseudoscorpiones; Chernetidae. The record is from the annotation of a GenBank genome assembly.
UGUCCAGGGAUGGGAAUCGAACCCACAAUGUUCCGCUUACCGGGCAGAUGCCAUGUCCACUAGGUUACCCUGGGC